This 509-nucleotide ribosomal RNA is filed under the name uncultured Mycoplasma sp. Its description in RNAcentral is "bacterial SSU rRNA". It matches the Rfam family "Bacterial small subunit ribosomal RNA", at positions 432 to 937 of the family's 1533-position model. Lineage: Bacteria; Bacillati; Mycoplasmatota; Mollicutes; Mycoplasmatales; Mycoplasmataceae. The record is from RNAcentral.
UNUUUUAUUUAGGAAAAAAAGCUUGAUAGGAAAUGAUUAAGCCUUGAUUGUACUAAAUGANUAAGUGACAGCUAACUAUGUGCCAGCAGCUGCGGUAAAACAUAGGUCACGAGCAUUAUCCGGAUUUAUUGGGCGUAAAGGAAGUGUAGGCGGACAAAUUGAUCUAUUGUUAAAGGCACUUGCUCAACGAGUUGUUUGUGAUAGAUAUCGUUUGUCUAGAAUUAGUUAGGAGAUACUGGAAUUCAAUGUGUAGCGGUGGAAUGCGUAGAUAUAUNGAGGAACACCAGAGGCUAAGGCGAGUAUCUAGGACAUAAUUGACGCUGAGGCUUGAAAGCGUGGGGAGCAAAUGGGAUUAGAUACCCCAGUAGUCCACGCCGUAAACGAUGGGUAUUAGGUAUUUGGUCUAGGACUGAGUGCUGUAGCUAACGCGUUAAAUACCCCGCCUGGGUAGUAUAUAUGCAAAUAUGAAACUCAAAGAAAUUGACGGGGACCUGAACAAGUGGGUGGAG